Oncorhynchus tshawytscha (Chinook salmon) is the source of this 1153-nucleotide long non-coding RNA. The record is from Ensembl. Lineage: Eukaryota; Metazoa; Chordata; Actinopteri; Salmoniformes; Salmonidae.
ACGGACUGGUUUUCUGAUCCAUGCCCUUACCUUUUUUUUCCCAUUGUCCAAUGAGAAGAUGCUCCAUAGCAGGGUGCUCAUAUCAGAUUUCUUGAUCCAACAUCUCACUCUGUACCUCUUACAGUCAGUAGACUUGGAGGAUGUGAAGCCUGAUCUGCUGCUAGUCAAAGAGGAGACAAUGGACAACAGACUAGAGAGCAUUGAUCUGCUGAGUGGACUAAAGAUGGAAGAGCUAGGUGGUUGGCUGGAGGCUAACAGAGGACACUGGGUGGCCAUCUUGGAUUCCUAGACAGGUUUAGCCAAGAUCCAAGGGGGACAACAUUACUGAGCAGGCCAGGAUCAGAGGCUAAAUAGUAGAGUCUGCAGUCCAUGAGGAACUGCUGAUAUCUGGUGUUGCUGGCGGGAGAGACUGACCCUCUGAAGCGGCUGGUCACAAACCCCGGCCCCGGAUCAGAACCCUGGAUCAGGAGCUGUCACUCUUCUUUCCCGAGUCAGAACCAGGACUGAACCGCGAGGAACAAAGACUCCACCACCACACAGAACACAACCAGUGGACAGGUGGACUGAACAACCUCAGUCCUGGUGGUCAUCAGAGAGACAGAGGCUCCAGUCAGGGAUCCAGUCUGCAGCCCAGACCCUUCUCUUCACAGUCUCAGUGCAGGGAUGAAGCAGGGCCUGGGGUUGAUAGAGAUAGACCCUCCUGUUCCUAUGAUGCAAACACCACAGUAUCCAUGAUGAACAGAGCAGGUCACCCUGGGCUUCAGCCUUCACAGAGGGUGGUGGGAGACCCCCUGGUGGUAGGCUUUCAGGAGGUGCCUAGUGUCUCAGUUCAUAGAAAGCCUGGGCUUGGACCUGGGUCUAGCUUUCCUCAGCUACCGCAUGGUUACCGCACCGAUACAGACCAGGUCAGGAUGGGCGUUCACCAGGAGAGGUACGUAGCCUAUAACACAACACACAAUCCCAACAACAUCCAAACAAUGGCAAGAGGUCAAGGAGGGAGCUGAAAGACUAACCACCUGAGGGUGGUGACUCCUGCUUCUACCUCUGGUGUAAUUGGGUCUCAACGUUGGAGUCGAGCAUUAGGACGGACGCAGACAAGCCGUACAGCUGCUCCACGUGUGGGAAGAGCUUUACUUAGGCGACCUAUGUGAAA